ACACACGGAAAGGAGGUGGUCCGAAGAAUGAUUGCUUAUCGGACAUGUGAGGUGACGGCUAGCUAGCCGCUGCUAACGAUUCAGCUGGUCUGGAUCACUGGCCGAGCGGCCGGCGAAUCCACAGCCGCACACCCGAACCCGCGAGCGCCGGAGUUGUCCCCCGGCCGACGGACCCACCACCUCCCCGCGAGGACCGUUCUCC
RNAcentral lists this small RNA (202 nucleotides) under Microlunatus soli. RNAcentral's name for it is "Actinobacteria sRNA Ms_IGR-5". It matches the Rfam family "Actinobacteria sRNA Ms_IGR-5". Lineage: Bacteria; Bacillati; Actinomycetota; Actinomycetes; Propionibacteriales; Propionibacteriaceae. The record is from Rfam by way of RNAcentral.